RNAcentral lists this long non-coding RNA (1645 nucleotides) under Oryctolagus cuniculus (rabbit). RNAcentral's name for it is "lncRNA (ENSOCUG00000031035.1)". Lineage: Eukaryota; Metazoa; Chordata; Mammalia; Lagomorpha; Leporidae. The record is from RNAcentral.
CCACAGGGGAUCCAACUGAGUGGGUCAGAGGGUGGAACCCAGGAACCUGCAUUUUGGAAGGGAGGGAGGGAGAAAGAAAGGAAGGAGGGAGAGAGGAGGAAGGGAGAAGGGAGGGAGGGAAGAGGGAGGGAGGGAGGGAGGGAAAAAGGGAGGGAGGGAGAGAAGGAGGGAGGGAGGGAGGGAGAGAAAGGGAGGGAGGGAGGGAGGUGAAACCCAGUUUGUAAGCAUCAGAACCGACCGCUGAGACUCACAGCAGACGACAGAUGAGAGAGCACAUUUUUCAGAUCCGGAUCCCAGCACAUCAGUGUCAAACGCUGCAACCCUGAAGGUGUCGUGGCACGAAGCUUGUGCCGGCAACGCCCGAAGCCAGUGCGAUCUCAGAUCCCGGAGAAGCAGAGCCUGGGUCGGGGGCUGUCCCCAUGGAGGGCCCUGCUGCUCCCCCGUCAUCACCCGCACGCCCCACAGCUGCCUCUGCGGCCGGGGACUCCCCUGGCACGUGCCCAGAGCCCGACCUGCCUGUCUCAGCCUGAGGAGCUCUGCCUGUUGUGCCUGGACUGCCAGGACCCCUGCCUGCUCUUUCCAGAAACGUCUGUGCUCCACAUCCUUCAGGACGGUGGCUUUUGACCCCGACCAGCCCUCUGCUCUUGACUAUGUUUCACGGAUCUCUUCCAUGAUGCUGGAGCUGAUAUAGACAUUGGCCGAUUCUGCGCGUCUGCUACAGGCUGGUGGCUGGGCUGGGGAAGGGCAGGAGGGGGACAGCAAGGAGGCAGAGGGGCCAGCAGGGAUGCUGCCAAUGCAAGCCCAGCGCACCUCUCUGGGGACUUGUCCCUGUCUUCAUGGUCUUCCUACUGUUACCCUAUUUUCAUUUUCAUACAUAUAUACACAGAUGCACGUAUACGUGUGUGUGAGAGAGAUACUGAUCAAAUCUUUUGUAAACUGAGAUGCAGCUAACACGCUAUGACAGAUCACACGAGACACACACCAAGCUGCGGCUGUCACGGCCGCUGACGCGGUUGAUUAACAGUAGGCGCUCACUGGACAGCGGGACUUUCAUGAUCUCCAUGUUCGCAGAAGGACGAGUGCACAAGCUGUGGCCGCGUGCUCAGCACGAGGUGGCUGAGGACGCAACGCUCAAGCUUGUCUGUCUCUAAACCCCGGGCUCCCCCACUGUGACGGGCCCGCCCCUCUCGAAUGCUGUCUCAAGUGCAUUGCUCUUCCAGCACCCGGGGCGACUCAUUAUGCUUUGCUACCAAGGGGCAGAGGUUCCUCUGCAGAGGCUGGUGCCAAAGCACUGUGCACGGGGGCCGGCGCUGUGGCGUAGCGGGCUAAGCCUCUACCUGCAGCCCCAGCAUCUCCUACAGGCAUCAGUUCGUGUCCUGGCUGCCCUUCUUCCAAUCCAGCUCCCUGCUCACGUGCCUGGGAAAGCAGCAGAAGAUGGCCCAGGUGCUUGAGCCCCUGUACACAUGUGGGAGACCAGGAAGAAGCUCCUGGCACCUGGCUUUGGCCUGGCCCAGCCCUGGCCAUUGCAGCCAUUUGUGGAGUGAACCAGUGGAUGGAAGAUCAAUCUCUCUCUCUCUCUCUCUCUCUCUGUAACUCUGCAUCUCAAGUAAAUAAAUUAAUCCCCCCCCCAAAAAAAAAGAAAGAG